Molecule: ribosomal RNA, 491 nt
Filed under: uncultured bacterium
Lineage: Bacteria
Description: bacterial SSU rRNA
Rfam family: Bacterial small subunit ribosomal RNA
Source: RNAcentral
UGGGGAAUAUUGGACAAUGGGCGCAAGCCUGAUCCAGCCAUACCGCGUGGGUGAAGAAGGCCUUCGGGUUGUAAAGCCCUUUUGUUGGGAAAGAAAUCUUGCCGGUUAAUACCUGGCGAGGAUGACGGUACCCAAAGAAUAAGCACCGGCUAACUUCGUGCCAGCAGCCGCGGUAAUACGAAGGGUGCAAGCGUUACUCGGAAUUACUGGGCGUAAAGCGUGCGUAGGUGGUGGUUUAAGUCUGCUGUGAAAGCCCUGGGCUCAACCUGGGAAUUGCAGUGGAUACUGGGUCACUAGAGUGUGGUAGAGGGAUGCGGAAUUUCCGGUGUAGCAGUGAAAUGCGUAGAGAUCGGAAGGAACAUCCGUGGCGAAGGCGGCAUCCUGGGCCAACACUGACACUGAGGCACGAAAGCGUGGGGAGCAAACAGGAUUAGAUACCCUGGUAGUCCACGCCCUAAACGAUGCGAACUGGAUGUUGGGUGCAACUUGGC